GACGAACGCUGGCGGCGUGCUUAACACAUGCAAGUCGAACGGAAAGGCCCUGCUUUUGUGGGGUGCUCGAGAGGCGAACGGGUGAGUAACACGUGAGUAACCUGCCCUUGACUUUGGGAUAACUUCAGGAAACGGGGGCUAAUACCGGAUAGGAGCUCCUGCUGCAUGGUGGGGGUUGGAAAGUUUCGGCGGUUGGGGAUGGACUCGCGGGUUAUCAGCUGGUUGGUGGGGUAGUGGCUUACCAAGGCUUUGACGGGUAGCCGGCCUGAGAGGGUGACCGGCCACAUUGGGACUGAGAUACGGCCCAGACUCCUACGUUAGGCAGUAGUGGGGAAUAUUGCAGAAUGGGCGGAAGCCUGAUGCAGCAGCGCCGCGUGCGGGAUGACGGCCUUCGGGUUGUAAACCGCUGUCGACUGUGACGAAGCGGGAGUGACGGUAAUGGGUAAAGAAGCACCGGCUAACUACGUG
This 468-nucleotide ribosomal RNA is filed under the name uncultured bacterium. RNAcentral's name for it is "partial 16S ribosomal RNA". It matches the Rfam family "Bacterial small subunit ribosomal RNA", at positions 28 to 507 of the family's 1533-position model. The record is from RNAcentral.